CCUACGGGAGGCAGCAGUGAGGAAUAUUGGUCAAUGGCCACAAGGCUGAACCAGCCAAGUCGCGUGAGGGAUGACGGUCCUAUGGAUUGUAAACCUCUUUUGUCAGGGAGCAAAGGGCGCCACGUGUGGCGCUUUGCGAGUACCUGAAGAAAAAGCAUCGGCUAACUCCGUGCCAGCAGCCGCGGUAAUACGGAGGAUGCGAGCGUUAUCCGGAUUUAUUGGGUUUAAAGGGUGCGCAGGCGGAAUGUCAAGUCAGCGGUAAAAUUUCGGGGCUCAACCCCGUCGUGCCGUUGAAACUGGCGUUCUUGAGUGAGCGAGAAGUAUGCGGAAUGCGUGGUGUAGCGGUGAAAUGCAUAGAUAUCACGCAGAACUCCGAUUGCGAAGGCAGCAUACCGGCGCUCAACUGACGCUCAUGCACGAAAGCGUGGGUAUCGAACAGGAUUAGAUACCCCAGUAGUC
RNAcentral lists this ribosomal RNA (459 nucleotides) under uncultured bacterium. RNAcentral's name for it is "partial 16S ribosomal RNA". It matches the Rfam family "Bacterial small subunit ribosomal RNA", at positions 338 to 795 of the family's 1533-position model. The record is from RNAcentral.